CACUGUAGCUGUCCUCAGACACACCAGAAGAGGUCAUCAGAUCUCAUUACAGAUGGUUGUGAGCCACCAUGUUGUUGCUGGGAUUUGAACUCAGGACCUCUGGAAGAGCAGUCAGUGCUCUUAACCACUGAGCCAUCCCUCCAGCCCCCCUGUUUUCAGUUCUCCUUAUUAGUUUGUGUAUAAAUGUAUUGAUUGUGUGGGGAGGUGUGUGUAGAGGACAACUUGUAGGAGUUGAUUCUCUUCUUCCAGGUCUACUGUGUCGUCACGAUUAGCAGCAAGUGCCUGUGCCUACUGCAUUGUCUCCCCAGCCCUCCUUUUAUGUCUUCUGGGCAAUUUUAAGGAUUUCUCUGUAAUCCUGUACAUGUGAGUGCAAGUACCCAUAGAAGCUAGGGGAGAUGGAGGUGGUCGUGAGCUACCCUGCAUGGAUUCUGGGAACUGAACGUAGGUCUUCUUCAAGAGAAGAACACAUAUAUAUGUUAGCCCCAUAAUUUUAUUUUGAGGUUAAAGAAAGUGAAUCUUAGAAAAAUUCAGUGGAUUCCUGUAUACUUUACCUGUUUGAUCAGUUGCUUAUGCUAAGAAUGUUGACUUUUCAAAAAGUUAAUACUUGCAGAGGAAUGUUAUAUAAAGGUCCUGAAUCGUUUUGAACCUGUAUAUUUGGACAGUCUUAUUUAUAUAAAAUUUGCUCAUAAAAUUACAUAUGGGGGGGGGUUGGGGAUUUAGCUCAGUGGUAGAGCGCUUGCCUAGGAAGCGCAAGGCCCUCGGUUCGGUCCCCAGCUCCGAAAAAAAAGAACCAAAAAAAAAAAAAAAUU
This 809-nucleotide long non-coding RNA is filed under the name Rattus norvegicus (Norway rat). RNAcentral's name for it is "long non-coding RNA NONRATT028889". Lineage: Eukaryota; Metazoa; Chordata; Mammalia; Rodentia; Muridae. The record is from RNAcentral.